UACGUAGGGCGCAAGCGUUAUCCGGAAUUAUUGGGCGUAAAGAGCGUGUAGGCGGCCUGAAAGGUCAGCUGUGAAAACUCGAGGCUCAACCUCGAGACGUCGGUUGAAACCAUCUGGCUAGAGUCCGGAAGAGGAGUGUGGAAUUCCCGGUGUAGCGGUGAAAUGCGCAGAUAUCAGGAGGAACACCGGUGGCGAAGGCGGGUCUCUGGGCCGUAACUGACGCUGAGGAGCGAAAGCAUGGGGAGCGAACAGG
This 253-nucleotide ribosomal RNA is filed under the name uncultured bacterium. RNAcentral's name for it is "partial 16S ribosomal RNA". It matches the Rfam family "Bacterial small subunit ribosomal RNA", at positions 524 to 776 of the family's 1533-position model. The record is from RNAcentral.